Small nucleolar RNA from Boleophthalmus pectinirostris (great blue-spotted mudskipper), 175 nucleotides. RefSeq annotates it as small nucleolar RNA SNORA81. The record is from RefSeq and is a predicted model, not a curated record. The transcript has a single exon. NCBI's taxonomy places the organism in Eukaryota, Metazoa, Chordata, Actinopteri, Gobiiformes, Gobiidae.
UUCUGCUUUUAAGAGAUCUGCUAGAACUGUUUCCCUCAGAUAAGUCUGUGAUGCAGUAAUGCUAGUAGAGCCAUGUGCAGAAGGAGACUAAAGAGCACUGAACUGAAAAGGAGCUUUGGCCGAACCUCUUUCUUAAUGUUCAAUGGUCCCUGGCUCAAGGCUCGGUGCCACAUGA